AUGAGAAAGCCCAGGACGGGAAGGAGGAAGAAAAAAAAAAGCAAGAAUUGCUGUCUCCCAUCACUCCUUUUUUUUCCCCCCCUUGUCCAUGGCUGUCUAAGAAGACUUGCAGUGGCUGGGGAAAGUCCUAAAGAGGAACAGGAGAAAGAACGUAGGAUUUUGAGAAAAACAGCAGGUCCUGUGGUCACACCAGCAUGCUUCUCCAGACCUCAGGAGGCAACUAGCCUUAUUGCAUCAGGCAGGUCCAUGCACUGAGAAGCUGAUCUGCAGUGUUGGAAGUUUGUCAUAGGAGAUCGGAAGUGUCCUCAUCAACCACAAGGUGACCCUGGGCCUCAGAAUAUGGAUCACAUGAAGAAUGUAAGUUCAAAGUCCUUUAAAUAGUGGACAGAGAAGCAGAGUUGCAUCUGGCCACCAUUCUCCCCCUUCUCUUUCCUCCACCCACAGUGGCCUCCUUCCCCUUUCAUGCAGCAUCAGUGUCCUUGUUUCCUUGGCUCAGUCUGUUCUCUGCUGGGAAUGACUUUCUAGUUCCAGACUCCUCUAACUCUUCUUGAAGAUCUACUCCUUAAUGAAAGAACUCGCCAAGAUAUUAAACAAAACAAGCAGGGCACACAAUUGUGGAUAGAAUACGCUUUCACUUGCACAGUGGAAAAAUACUCGCAUGUAUGCACACAGGAUAAUAAUGUUUUUAAAUUUAUCAAAUAUUUAAGAAAGGACAUACAAGACAUUAUAACAGUAUCUGACUCCAGAGGUAAGUGGGUGUUUCAAAGGCACAAAAGAAAGAAGACUCGCUUUGCCCCCAUCUCCUCUUUUGUAAACUUUUUUUUUUUUUUUUUUUUGUCUUUUUAGGGCUGCACCCACAGCAUACAGAGGUUCCCAGGCUAGGGAUCUAAUCAGAGCUGUUGCCGCUGGCCUACGCCACAGCAACAGCAGAUCCAAGCCUCGUCUGUGACCUACACCACAGCUCACCGCAAUGCCAAAUCCUCAAACCACUGAGCGAGGCCAGGGAUCGAACCACAACCUCAUGAUUCCUAGUCAGAUUUGUUUCACUGUGCCAGGACAGGAACUUCCCCUUCUGUAAACUUUAACUUCUGUUCUGUGAGCAUAGAGAAGCUAUUCAAAAUUCGGCUUAAAAAUUAUUUUUAAAAAUAUUUAAACUCUGGUUCACAACUGCACUAAAGUUUUUUACAAGACGUUACCAUUUGGGAGAAACCAGAUGGAGUGUAUACCAGCUCUCUCUGUAUUAUUUCUUGCAACC
RNAcentral lists this long non-coding RNA (1255 nucleotides) under Sus scrofa (pig). Its description in RNAcentral is "lncRNA (ENSSSCG00050050669.1)". The record is from RNAcentral. Lineage: Eukaryota; Metazoa; Chordata; Mammalia; Artiodactyla; Suidae.